RNAcentral lists this ribosomal RNA (258 nucleotides) under uncultured bacterium. RNAcentral's name for it is "partial 16S ribosomal RNA". It matches the Rfam family "Bacterial small subunit ribosomal RNA", at positions 1243 to 1500 of the family's 1533-position model. The record is from RNAcentral.
CGAGUCGCAAACUCGCGAGAGUAAGCUAAUCUCUUAAGCCGUUCUCAGUUCGGACUGUAGGCUGCAACUCGCCUACACGAAGUCGGAAUCGCUAGUAAUCGCGGAUCAGCAUGCCGCGGUGAAUACGUUCCCGGGCCUUGUACACACCGCCCGUCACACCAUGGGAGUUUGUAACGCCCAAAGUCGGUGGCCUAACCUUUAUGGAGGGAGCCGCCUAAGGCGGGACAGAUGACUGGGGUGAAGUCGUAACAAGGUAUC